RNAcentral lists this ribosomal RNA (1227 nucleotides) under metagenome. RNAcentral's name for it is "bacterial LSU rRNA". It matches the Rfam family "Archaeal large subunit ribosomal RNA", at positions 1743 to 2973 of the family's 2987-position model. The record is from RNAcentral.
AAACUGACACAGGUGCCCCUCGCUGAGAAGGCGAAGGCGUGUCGGGAGUAAAUGUGUUAAGGGAACUCGGCAAAUUAGCCCUGUAACUUUGGGAUAAGGGGUGCCUGCCCAGCGAUUGGGCAGGUCGCAGUGACAAGAUCGCUCCGACUGUCUAAUAACAACAUAGCAGACUGCAACUCCGAAAGGACUCGUAUAGUCUGUGAUUCCUGCCCAGUGCGAGUAUCUGAACACCGGGUUCAACCGGACGAAGGACUCGUAAACGGCGGGGGUAACGAUGACCCUCUUAAGGUAGCGUAGUACCUUGUCGCUUAAUUGGCGACUUGCAUGAAUGGAAUAACGAGAGCGAUACUGUCCCUAACACAUACCCGUUGAACCUUUUGUACUAGUGCAGAGACUAGUGACUCCUUAUGGGAAGUGAAGACCCCGUGGAGCUUUACUGCAGCCUGUCGUUGGGUUACGGUAUUACCUGCGCAGGGUAGAUGGGAGACGUCGAUCCAACCCUUGUGGGGGUUGGUUAGUCACCGAUGAGACACCAUCCUGGUUUUAUUGUAAUUCUAACUGAUUUAUCAGGACAUCGAUAGGUAGGCAGUUUGGGUGGGGCGCCACACCCUCGAAAAAAUAUCAAGGGUGCCCUAAGGUCAACUCAAGCGGGUCAGAAACCCGCCGAAGAGUGUCAAGAGCAAAAGUUGGCCUGACGCGAUUUCGCAUAGCAAGAAAUCGCGAGAGGAAACUCGGGUCUAACGAACCAAUACGCCCUGUUGAUGAGGGCUAUUGACUACAGAAAAGCUACCCCGGGGAUAACAGAGUCGUCGCCGGCAAGAGCACAUAUCGACCCGGCGGCUUGCUACCUCGAUGUCGGUUCUUUCCAUCCUGGCUGUGCAGCAGCAGCCAAGGGUGAGGUUGUUCGCCUAUUAAAGGGGAUCGUGAGCUGGGUUUAGACCGUCGUGAGACAGGUCGGUUACUAUCUAUAAGGAGUGUUGGAAGUCUGAAGGCAAGAAUGAAAUAGUACGAGAGGAACUUUCAUUCGGCGCCACUGGUCUACCGGUUGUCUGACAAGGCAACGCCGGGCAGCUACGCGCCAAGAGAUAAAAGCUGAAAGCAUCUAAGCUUGAAACUCAGCCUGAACAAGAGACUUCAUCAAAGACACGGGUAAAAGACCCGGUUGAUAGGUUCGGGAUGUACGCACGAAGGCAACGACGUGUUCAGUCCGCGAAUACUAAUCGUCCC